This 408-nucleotide ribosomal RNA is filed under the name uncultured bacterium. RNAcentral's name for it is "partial 16S ribosomal RNA". It matches the Rfam family "Bacterial small subunit ribosomal RNA", at positions 28 to 526 of the family's 1533-position model. The record is from RNAcentral.
GACGAACGCUGGCGGCGUGCUUAACACAUGCAAGUCGAACGAAGUGGCGAACGGGUGAGUAACGCGUAAUCAACCUGCCCUUCAGAGGGGGAUAACAGUUGGAAAAGACUGCUAAUACCGCAUACUGAAGGAGGGGAUUGCGUCCGAGUAGCUAGUUGGAGUGGUAACGGCCCACCAAGGCGUUGAUCAGUAGCCGGUCUGAGAGGUUGAACGGCCACCUUGGAACUGAUACACGGCCCAGACUCCUACGGGAGGCAGCAGUGGGGAAUCUUCCGCAAUGGACGAAAGUCUGACGGAGCAACGCCGCGUGAGUGAUGACGGCCUUCGGGUUGUAAAGCUCUGUUAAUCGGGACGCGGUACCGGAAUAGAAAGCCACGGCUAUCUACGUGCCAGCCGCCGCGGUAAUUC